CUUGAGUAUCUAUAAGAGGUCCAGCCUGCCCAGUGACUCUGUUCAACGGCCGCGGUAUCCUAACCGUGCGAAGGUAGCGUAAUCACUUGUUCUUUAAAUGAGGACUAGUAUGAAUGGCACCACGAGGGUUAUACUGUCUCCUUUUUCUAAUCAGUGAAACUAAUCUCCCCGUGAAGAAGCGGGGAUUAAAAUAUAAGACGAGAAGACCCUAUGGAGCUUUAAACUUAAUAACAAGUACUACCCUUUAUUUAACUUUCAGAACAUAUACCUUUAUUCUAGUAUUAUGAUUAUUAGUUUUAGGUUGGGGUGACCGCGGAGCAAAAAUCAACCUCCACAUUGAACGGAACUCAUUCCUGAGCAAAAAGCCACGACUUUAAGCACCAACAAAUUGACAUCAAUUGACCCAAUAUUUUGAUCAACGAAC
RNAcentral lists this ribosomal RNA (424 nucleotides) under Trachycephalus cunauaru group sp. ABGD cluster 17. RNAcentral describes it as "partial large subunit ribosomal RNA". It matches the Rfam family "Bacterial large subunit ribosomal RNA", at positions 1834 to 2439 of the family's 2925-position model. Lineage: Eukaryota; Metazoa; Chordata; Amphibia; Anura; Hylidae. The record is from RNAcentral.